GCUAGAGAGAGAUAGCAAACGUUUAUUAGUAAUUUCACCAUGAUUUCACCAUGAGCUGGUGUUCCUGGUGAGAGGGCACUGUGGCGAAUCCGUCACCUAGUUACUAAUUUCACCAUGUUCCUGGUGAGAGGGCACUGUGGUGAAUCCGUCACCUUGUUGCUCACACACUUCAGCUUGCAGUUAAGGAUUUCCUUAAAAUUGGUGCAAGUGAUGCUCUUUUUCAGAAGGCUCGCAAGCUGGUUAAAGCUCUGCGGACAUCAAACUACAGAUAUGUAAAGGCUUAUAAUUUCAAAUGAAGGCUUACGUCAGCCCCUUCUUGACUUCAGCCAUCUAUUUGGAUCCCAGGAUGCGAAGGGGUUUGCUUAAAAAUCCAUUAAAAAUUUUACUAACGAAGAACCAUUUGACUACACUUUACAGGCAAAUAAAUGCAAUUGCAAACAAAGACCAUCUAUUACCAGCUAUAAGCUUAGAUUCGCCACAGCCCACUGCGCAUGAAUUUGACCAGCCUUCCACAAGCCAAUUUUCGAGCGCGUCACAGAGUACUUGCUCCUUGCUCAAUGAUUUCCUCAAUUCUAUUUAGGUUUCUUCAGGCAAUGAGGAGUCAGAUGAAGAGGAGGAACGUGAAGUUCAGCUUGCCAUUAAUGAAAUACAAAAUUAUUGUCCGAAGCCAAUUGACAUAAAUGCCAAUAUUAUGGAUUAUUGGGAAGAAAAGAAAUACAUAUAUCCCCGCUUAUAUGAAUUGGCCUAAGGUCAUACAUUGUGUUCCCUGAAACUGAACUGAAACUUAUACGAUCAGACUUGCGCUGCAAUUUGUCCGCAAGUUCUAUAAAACAACUUAUGUUUUUAAAACUAAACAAAUAUUGAAUAAAUUCACCAUUUCGUUAUAAUUCCCAUUUCUUUCUUUUGUAGU
Molecule: long non-coding RNA, 910 nt
Organism: Drosophila guanche
Lineage: Eukaryota; Metazoa; Arthropoda; Insecta; Diptera; Drosophilidae
Exons: 3
Source: RefSeq, a predicted model, not a curated record